GACGAACGCUGGCGGCGUGCUUAACACAUGCAAGUCGAACGAUGAUCCGGUGCUUGCAUCGGGGAUUAGUGGCGAACGGGUGAGUAACACGUGAGUAACCUGCCCUGGACUCUGGGAUAA
Molecule: ribosomal RNA, 120 nt
Filed under: uncultured bacterium
Lineage: Bacteria
Description: partial 16S ribosomal RNA
Rfam family: Bacterial small subunit ribosomal RNA
Source: RNAcentral